GAUGAACGCUGGCGGCGUGCCUAAUACAUGCAAGUCGAGCGAACGGACGAGAAGCUUGCUUUUCUGAUGUUAGCGGCGGACGGGUGAGUAACACGUGGAUAACCUACCUAUAAGACUGGGAUAACUUCGGGAAACCGGAGCUAAUACCGGAUAAUAUUUUGAACCGCAUGGUUCAAAAGUGAAAGACGGUCUUGCUGUCACUUAUAGAUGGAUCCGCGCUGCAUUAGCUAGUUGGUAAGGUAACGGCUUACCAGGGCAACGAUGCAUAGCCGACCUGAGAGGAGGAUGGGCCAAACUGGAACUGAGACACGGUCCAGACUCCUACGGGAGGCAGCAGUGGGGAAGAUGCCACAAUGGGCGAAAGCCUGACGGAGCAACGCCGCGUGAGUGAAGAAGGUCUUCGGAUUGUAAAACACUGUUAUUAGGGAAGAACGGAAGUGAGAGUAAAUGUGCAUGUCUUGACGGUACCAACACAAAAAGCAACGGCUAACUUCGUG
This 497-nucleotide ribosomal RNA is filed under the name uncultured bacterium. Its description in RNAcentral is "partial 16S ribosomal RNA". It matches the Rfam family "Bacterial small subunit ribosomal RNA", at positions 28 to 507 of the family's 1533-position model. The record is from RNAcentral.